UAAGGAAUAUUGGUCAAUGGACGCAAGUCUGAACCAGCCAUGCCGCGUGAAGGAUGAAGGUCCUCUGGAUUGUAGACUUCUUUUAUCUGGGACGAAAACGGGAUUUUUAUCUCAAUUGACGGUACCAGAGGAAUAAGCACCGGCUAACUCCGUGCCAGCAGCCGCGGUAAUACGGAGGGUGCGAGCGUUAUCCGGAUUUACUGGGUUUAAAGGGUGCGUAGGUGGGCUUAUAAGUCAGUGGUGAAAUCUCCGAGCUUAACUUGGAAACUGCCGUUGAUACUAUAGGUCUUGAAUUAUCUGGAGGUAAGCGGAAUAUGUCAUGUAGCGGUGAAAUGCUUAGAUAUGACAUAGAACACCAAUUGCGAAGGCAGCUUACUACAUAUAAAUUGACGCUGAGGCACGAAAGCGUGGGGAUCAAACA
RNAcentral lists this ribosomal RNA (421 nucleotides) under uncultured bacterium. RNAcentral's name for it is "bacterial SSU rRNA". It matches the Rfam family "Bacterial small subunit ribosomal RNA", at positions 355 to 774 of the family's 1533-position model. The record is from RNAcentral.